ACUCAAAGGAAUAGACGGGGGCCCGCACAAGCGGUGGAGCAUGUGGGUCAAUUGGAUGCUACGCCAAGAACCUUACCAGGGCUUGACAUGUUGGGGCCCGCGUGAGAGAUCACGUUUUCUCCGCAAGGAGACCCCAUCACAGGUGGUGCAUGGCUGUCGUCAGCUCGUGUCGUGAGAUGUUGGGUUAAGUCCCGCAACGAGCGCAACCCUCACCGGAUGUUGCCAUCGGUUCGGCCGGGCACUCUUCCGGAACUGCCUGAGUAAUCAGGAGGAAGGCGAGGACGACGUCAAGUCCGCAUGCCCCUUAUGUCCUGGGCUGCACACGUGCUACAAUGGCCGGUACAAAGGGCAGCCAAACCGCGAGGUGGAGCUAAUCCCCCAAAACCGGUCCCAGUUCGGAUUGGAUGUCUGCAACUCGACUCCAUGAAGCUGGAAUCGCUAGUAAUCGUGGAUCAGCAACGCCACGGUGAAUACGUUCUCGGGCCUUGUACACACCGCCCGU
RNAcentral lists this ribosomal RNA (502 nucleotides) under uncultured bacterium. RNAcentral's name for it is "bacterial SSU rRNA". It matches the Rfam family "Bacterial small subunit ribosomal RNA", at positions 899 to 1397 of the family's 1533-position model. The record is from RNAcentral.